Non-coding RNA from Hordeum vulgare subsp. vulgare (domesticated barley), 135 nucleotides. The record is from Rfam. Lineage: Eukaryota; Viridiplantae; Streptophyta; Magnoliopsida; Poales; Poaceae.
AAAGUAGCUCCUCCAUCCCAAAAUUCUUGUCUUAUAUUUGUUUAGAUACGAAUGUAUCUAGUCAAAUUUAGUAUUUNNNNACAUCCAUUUCUAGACAAAGCUAAAACAAGAAUUUUGGGACAGAGGGAGUAUCAU